UACGUAGGGUCCGAGCGUUGUCCGGAAUUACUGGGCGUAAAGAGCUCGUAGGUGGUUUGUCGCGUUGUUCGUGAAAACUCACAGCUCAACUGUGGGCGUGCGGGCGAUACGGGCAGACUUGAGUACUGCAGGGGAGACUGGGAUUCCUGGUGUAGCGGUGGAAUGCGCAGAUAUCAGGAGGAACACCGGUGGCGAAGGCGGGUCUCUGGGCAGUAACUGACGCUGAGGAGCGAAAGCGUGGGGAGCGAACAGG
RNAcentral lists this ribosomal RNA (253 nucleotides) under uncultured bacterium. Its description in RNAcentral is "partial 16S ribosomal RNA". It matches the Rfam family "Bacterial small subunit ribosomal RNA", at positions 524 to 776 of the family's 1533-position model. The record is from RNAcentral.